GCACUACUGAGGAGUCCAACAAUAGGACGAAACAACUGUGCAGUGC
Molecule: non-coding RNA, 46 nt
Filed under: Schistosoma mansoni
Lineage: Eukaryota; Metazoa; Platyhelminthes; Trematoda; Strigeidida; Schistosomatidae
Source: RNAcentral